RNAcentral lists this microRNA (24 nucleotides) under Brugia malayi. RNAcentral's name for it is "bma-miR-307". Its record names the gene bma-miR-307. RNAcentral also lists the same sequence under 1 other name. The record is from miRBase by way of RNAcentral. Lineage: Eukaryota; Metazoa; Nematoda; Chromadorea; Rhabditida; Onchocercidae.
UCACAACCUCCUUGAGUAAGCGGA